This is a non-coding RNA of Pelobates cultripes (western spadefoot toad), 698 nucleotides long. NCBI's taxonomy places the organism in Eukaryota, Metazoa, Chordata, Amphibia, Anura, Pelobatidae. The record is from the annotation of a GenBank genome assembly.
CCCGCUGAUAUGAGAGACAGGUCAGCUUUUUUCGCGGCUAAAUCCAUAAAGCAAGCUGAAUACAUGCCCCAAGAUCAGGCUGAGCUCUCAGAUAUGGAGCAAUUAAUGGAACAGCCAAAUGAAAAUAUAAGUUUGGAGGCUCCACUUACACAGCAGGUAUUGCAAAUUAUGCUUGAUAACGUUGUUAUUAGAAUGCAGUCUUCGUUCAUAGAUGCUAUCUCUGAGGUUAAGGGAGAUCUGACAGAGUUAGCUGCACGCACACAUAAUGUGGAGACUGAUUUACGGAACUCAUGUACUGAGACUGGAAAACGUUUUGUGCGAUUAGAGGAGCGAAUAGCCUCCCAAGAACUUAAAAUUAUGAACCUGGAAGACAGGUCAAGACGAAAUCAUGUUCGAUUAAGAGGUAUACUGGAAGAAGUAAGUGCACAAAGCUUAACAACUUAUGUUACAGAGUUCUUUCAAAUUCUACUACCAGAUACUCCAAUCGAAAAGCUAGUAUUAGAUCGUGUGCAUAGAGUACCAAAACCACAACAUCUUUCCUCCACCACACCAAGAGAUGUCCUCGUAAAGAUUCACUUUUUUAACACUAAAGAGCUGAUUUUAAGAGCUCACAGAAAUAAAAAAGAUAUACCGGAGAGAUUUAGAGGAAUAUCUCUGUUUUCAGAUCUAUCAGCAGAGACCAUGAGACGUAGACGGAC